UCUAAUACCGCAUAUGGUCUUCGGAUUAAAGCUUCGGCGUUUGGGAAGAGCCCGCGUAAGAUUAGCUAGUUGGUGAGGUAAUGGCUCACCAAGGCGACGAUCUUUAACUGGUUUGAGAGGAUGAUCAGUCACACUGGAACUGAGACACGGUCCAGACUCCUACGGGAGGCAGCAGUGAGGAAUUUCCACAAUGGGCGAAAGCCUGAUGGAGCAACGCCGCGUGCAGGAUGAAGGCUUUAGGGUUGUAAACUGCUUUAUAUGUGACGAAUAUGACGGUAGCAUAUGAAUAAGGAUCGGCUAACUCCGUG
Molecule: ribosomal RNA, 308 nt
Filed under: uncultured bacterium
Lineage: Bacteria
Description: bacterial SSU rRNA
Rfam family: Bacterial small subunit ribosomal RNA
Source: RNAcentral